This 733-nucleotide long non-coding RNA is filed under the name Homo sapiens (human). RNAcentral describes it as "HSALNT0086261". The record is from RNAcentral. Lineage: Eukaryota; Metazoa; Chordata; Mammalia; Primates; Hominidae.
CUGGCUUAGAACUCUGGCCUAUAAAGCAUCUUUAACAAAGAACAAUAAAAUUGUGGGGAAAUGAUAGGACAAAAGAAAGCAGUUCUAGGCUUUCAACAGCAGAAAACUGUGGAAAGAAUUGACGCCAUCAAGCUACAGAUGGUCUUACAAACGGAACUCCAAAUGAGUUCAACUAACAACUUCUACCGAGGACUCCUGGACUGACCCACUGGCCCUUUCACUGGCCAAGAGAGCUCCUCUCUGGAGGACACUACAACUGCAGGGCCCCUUCUUCACACCUAUCCAGCAGGAAGUAGCUAGAGUGGUCAUCAGCCAAAUUCCCAACAGCAGUUGGGGUGUCCUGUUUAGAGGGGAAAGUGAGAGGUGCCAACAUGCCAGCAGCCCUCGCUCACUCUCGGUGCUUCCUCGGCCUCAGUGUCCACUCUGGCCACACUUGAGGAGCCCUUCAGCCUGCAGCUGCACUGUGAGCCCCUCUCUGGGGCUGGCCAAGGCCAGAGCCGGCUCCCUCUGCUCGCAGGUAGGUAUGGAGGGAGAGGCGUGGGCAGGAGCCGGGGCUGCAUUCGGUGCUUGUGGGCCAGCACACAUUCUGGGUGGGCAUGGGCUUAGCAGGCCUCACAUUCAGCAUGGCCAGCCACUGCCUGCUGGGCUUAAUUAGGGGACAAGCUCCCUCUGGGCUGCCGGAGUGCCCAGGCUGGGUGCUGCAGAGUCCCGCAGCAAGUGCCAGUGACAGGUG